GGCGAUUCAGGAGGAAAGCAGGGGGUAGGUUCCCCUCGCCCACGGUGCAAGCCGCAGCGCGCGGUGAAACUCUCAGGCCAAUGACUCCGGGGAGACG
This 97-nucleotide non-coding RNA is filed under the name Actinopolyspora erythraea. Its description in RNAcentral is "Glycine sequence". It matches the Rfam family "Glycine riboswitch aptamer". From Rfam's summary of the family: This family represents the bacterial glycine riboswitch. Glycine riboswitches usually consist of two metabolite-binding aptamers domains with similar structures in tandem. The aptamers cooperatively bind glycine to regulate the expression of downstream genes. The record is from RNAcentral. Lineage: Bacteria; Bacillati; Actinomycetota; Actinomycetes; Actinopolysporales; Actinopolysporaceae.